This is a long non-coding RNA of Fundulus heteroclitus (mummichog), 432 nucleotides long. RefSeq lists it as uncharacterized. The record is from RefSeq and is a predicted model, not a curated record. NCBI's taxonomy places the organism in Eukaryota, Metazoa, Chordata, Actinopteri, Cyprinodontiformes, Fundulidae. The transcript has 3 exons.
GUGACUGAUUUGUAAUGUUUGUUGCUAAUCCAAAGCCUGGUAUGUUACAGUUUACGAUGGCUAAAGCGAUGGCAGAGGUCAGAGGUCACUCUUCAAUAAACUAAAGAGAGAAAGAAAUUGUAGCCGGGGCUGCUGUCCAGGAAGUAGGGCGCUGUGCGCUGGUUCUCUUGCCCAUAUAUGGAAGAGGCGGUGACAGAGCACACCUGGUGGGGGUGAGACAGGUAAUGAGCGUCUACAUUUAAAAGCAGGUAGAUCUCUGAGGAGGAUCCAUCCUGUUCUGAUUCCUGCAGAGGCAGCGCAUUUCUAGAGCGACGUCCGGAGCACCGUGGAUCGGUUUUACUGCAGAGAAGGUUCUGGUCCUGCUGGGCUCCAAGUCUGAGCUUCUGCUGCAGCCACAGCAUCUUCUCCAUCCGCAUCCUGAGAGUGGAGGAC